GCGGAAAUGCCAGAGUUUAUGGAGGUGGUUUAGGGCCAUUUUACGGCUUUAAUAGCCUUUCUGCU
This 65-nucleotide transfer RNA is filed under the name Gangesia oligonchis. Its description in RNAcentral is "tRNA-Leu". Lineage: Eukaryota; Metazoa; Platyhelminthes; Cestoda; Proteocephalidea; Proteocephalidae. The record is from RNAcentral.